CAUUAAUGCCCAAAUUAGCAUCGCCGCCGCCACUAGCCUCCUCGUAGCACCGUCGCCACCUCUUCCGACGAGCACCUCCGUGGAGUGGUGCUUCCCUUCGAACGCGCACCUCAUUAAUACCACCCCACGCUUCCCAGGAACCACAGUCCUUCGAUCCCCUAGCACAGCCAGCUAGGAGGCCCCCUCCUCAUGUGCGAGAUCACGACCGAUGCCUAACCGAGGACUUCUCCUCCGCGACCAAGUCUGCUGCGUCAUCACUCUCUGCACCAGCUGGAUCGGACCGCCAGCCACCACAGCGGAAUCGGAGUCGGCUGCCGCCUUCCUCGCCCACGGGAUCGGAAGCCAAUCGUCAAGGUCAGUCAAUUGCUUCAAGAAAUUCGAGGCUUCCAGCUCUUGAUGACUCAUGCAUUGUCUUGUGCACAUGGUGAGAAACUGAGGACUGAGCACCGAACACGAGGAUGUUUCUACUACCGGGGCUUGUCCUGCGUCAGCCAUCAUCAUGUAAAACAGGUUUAUGCCGUAGCAGCACAAGGAAUGGACGGAUUUUGACACGAGGAUCUAUGCAGAUUAUUAGGAAUCUAGGCUUGAGCUAUCGCUCUGUUCAUUGCAAGAUGAGAUGAUGGUGGCAUUUCUUGGUUGAAUGCACUCCUAAACAGUUUCUCUUUAUGAAUGUACACGAGUUCUUGUGAUAAACCAUAUUCAUGACAAACAUAAUGUACCCGUUUAUUUUUAUGAUUUGAGUCUGGAUUUGGCAUCCUAAUGAUCUUAGUUCUAUUUCGGUUGUUCUUAUAAUCUUAGGAGGAUCACAGGGGCCGGCGACGUGCUAGGCAAGCAAGAUCACAUGCCAAUAACGCACUGGCCUAGCAGGAGCACAGCAUCCAGCGACGCGCUGAGUGAUGAUGUAGGAGUGAUGGUUGGCCAACUGUGGCGUGUUGAUGAUCUAGGAGUGAUCUUUAAUGUGUGGUUAUGAAAUGCUUACUGGAUUGCUUUGUUCACUAGAGGUUUCUAUUCUUAACUGUUGCAGCUGCUUUUAGUGUGCGUUUCUGAAUUUUGAUGAGUAGUCUGUAAGAAGUACAAACACGGAUGUUAAUUGUUGCCUCA
Molecule: non-coding RNA, 1101 nt
Organism: Lolium perenne
Lineage: Eukaryota; Viridiplantae; Streptophyta; Magnoliopsida; Poales; Poaceae
Source: RefSeq, a predicted model, not a curated record